AAAUUUUUAACUAAGUCUUAGAACACUAAAAAUAAUUAGCAUAUAAAGGGAAAAAGAGGAGACUAAAAGACUUAGGUCAUUAGGCCCAAAUUCAUAAACUUUGUCCUAACCUAAUUUGAGCUUUUGGCCCAUCUUCACCUGUCUUAAUCUAAUUACUUGGGCUUUUGGCCUAUAACCUGUCCUAAUCUAACAUUCGGGUUUUUGACAUACAACAUGUCCUAAACUAUCUUUUUAGACCUUUGAGGUCCAAAAUCUGCUUCACCUGUAUUAGAUUACAACUUUGGCUUCGAGGCCCCAACUGAAUGAAUAAAUAAAUGACUAAAUAAAAACAAGGCAAUAAUAAAAAUUGACACUUUUCAAGUCUCUUAGCGACCUCAUUAAUAGGUUUUGACCCAUUUUUCUUCUUCUAUCUUCUUGCACCCGCACGCCAUAUAAUCAACUUUGGACUUAAACUUCGGACUUGACUCGAAAAGGUGGGUCUCAUUGGCCCAUUACGAAAUGCAAAAGGAAAAGAGUCCAUUUGAACUCCAAAGCAAUUUCAUGCAAAGAAAAAGAUUUAAAAAAAAAAUAAUAUACGUUCAAAAAUUCUACACUUAAUAGAUAAAUGAUGAAAUGGAAAAAAUAGCAUUCUCAAGCAUAAAGAAAUAAUAAACUAUGAUAUCAAAGCAAACUAAAUUAUCCAACGAAAUAAAAAUUAACCCAUCUCUUAGACAAUCUUACAAAAAUUGAAUCUAGCACAAUAUAAUCAACUAGCCUUGAAAAGAAGACAUGGACCCACAGGCAUAGUUGUUUAAAAUUUGAACAAAUACUUCCUAUAGAUAAACAAAUAUUUGCAUCAAAUACCAUGAUAUGAUCAAGUCUAAGGCAUGCUUUCCUUAAAGAAAGAAAAGUGGAAUGAGUAUUGUCGUGCCCUAUUUCAAACCGGUUGAAACAACACACAAACAUAUGGUGGCUAAUGUCGUGACUCUUCAAUUUUGAAAAUUUAUUUUUUAGAGUUGCCACCUAACUUUUUAGAAAAAUUAGAAAAAAAAUAUUUUUAUGUAGAAAACUCUAUUUUGGUCUUUCGAAAACAUUUAGAGAUUUUGAUUUAAGGGUUUUGAUUACUCGAGGGGAAGGUGUUAGGCCCCCCUCAAAGCCUAUCCGAAGAUAGUUCUCUUACACUCAGUGUAGGAAAAAUAUUUGAAAAAAAAAUUUAUUUUGUUAUUUGCUAAAAUGGUGAUAAGGAAACGCUCAUUAUUAUUUUCUAUUUGUUAUUUUAUAUAAAAGAAAGAAAACUUAAAGAUAUAACAAAGGUGAUGCUAGCAUGUACAAGGGAGUAAUAUCAUUAUUGAAAAAAUCUACAUGCAUUUUAAGUAUAAAAAGGGUGAUAAAACACAUAUUAAAAGUGUAAGUCUUAUCAUUUAGAGAAAGUUGUUUGAAUAUAUGUGAGGUUAAAUAUAUCCUUAUAGAGAAUAAGGUACUUUCAUAGGCGUGAGAACUUAUUUGCAAAACUAUACAUAUUUAAGAGCACGUGAAGAAUAUAUGAGAGAUUAUGAGUAAAUUAGAGUAAAAAUAAUUGUAAUAGCAUGUAAAUCAUGAUAAAUAAUAAUAGUAGUAAUAGUAACAAUAAUGACGAUGAUAACAUUAAAGUGAUGAAAAUGGUUGUUAUGAAAAUAGUAGAAUAUACCUUGUACGUAGUAGCAAAUGAAAUGUAUAUACCUCAUAUUUUCUACCCCUGAAAAUUCGAACAAGUACUGAAAAUAUAACGCAAAGCAUCAGAAUUAUAAAAACAAGGUUAGAAUUAACGAACGACCUAAGAAUUUUGUGACCUGCUCUCCCCUAUGAGUUAGUAUUUGAAUUCUAGUUUGUUAUUCUUUUUUUUAAGAAAAACAUGGAGAUUGUUACGUCCAUUUUAUUAACAAAUUAUUUUUUAAGGUGAGAUAAUCAAUUAAACACUUGAUCAAUUUUUUUUAAAAAAGAAUUUGCUAAUCCUUAAAGAAAGUUUACCUUUGAAAAUCGAUUGACCGAGUGUCGAUCACAAAAAUAUGAUAACGCCAUCCUAUUUAAAGAUUUGAUACGUAACAAAGCAAUUAUAAACAAAUAAAGCUACCUCAAGCAAAUGUAACACAAAAUAGAGUUGGUUAACAUCCAAAAGAAAGCAUAACAUAACGAGUAAGCUAAAAAAAAGAAACGGCUAGGAGUACUAGACUCCAUUUUGGAGUUCAAACUUCUAUCUCGCACGACUCCGAGACUCUUGUGAUCCUAGUAGCGUUUGACCCGAUAGUUGGGUCAAAACGAGUUUCGAUUAAAACUCCAUCUCCAAGAUUACAUGAAACAAAAAUAAAAUAAAGAUGAGUAACCAAAAUAACAAAAUAAUAUAGUUUGUCGAUUAUGAAAAAAAAACACAUACUCAUGAAUACUUUUCACAUAAGAACCGGAUAAGUGCUUAAGUUAAGUUAGCAUUCCAAACAAAUUAUCCUCGGAAGACUUUGCAUUUUAAUAGGACCUUAUCACUAACCUUCAUCGCUACACCAUAGUGAUAACAAAUUUCCUAAGAUCCAAAAGACUUUUCAAGGGAUAAUUUUAAUUUUUCUCAAUGCAUAUCAAAGGGCUCAAAUGAUCAGGAAAAUGUUAUUUCUUUAAACCCUUUUUGCUAUACCUUAGUGAUGGUUAAGAUACCUAUUAUUCCCAAAGCAUGAAACUCCCAGCACAAAGUGGACACUUAACCAUCAAAGUUAUUUAUAAACUUGACAAAUCCACCAAAUUUCACUUAGAAUGGCAAAUAGAGUUGACCACGAACGAAAUUUAGCUGGGAACAUAAAACCCAACAUAUCCAAAAUGAGGUAAUUGAUAAGAAUUUAUGAAGGUAAUCUUCUUAAGUAUGAAUAAAAAAAGAAACCCAAACGACAAAUAAAUAAGUCGAGAGGGAUGGAGUUAAGAGAAAAUAAGUGAAUAAGUAAACCAACAUUUAAGCUUUGGAAUGCUCAUGACAUGAUCAAACAACUAUAGAGAAUUAACAUAAAUGUUUUAAUCCUCUGAAAGUUAACCAAAGGGGCCACGGCCAGAUAUUAAAUUGGGCAAUUUGACAAAAUUGUACUCACGCUGACAACUAAAAAAAGUGCAUGAAGUUAAACCAAUUCUAUCCAAUGUUCACUACGAGAAGUAACUUUAUUAAACUAACCCAAAUACCAAAACUUAUACGGGCAAGGCAUAUCUUUGUACUAAGACACACUCCAUUUUAAACAAUUAAGGAAGCACCAAACAAAGAACUCUCUUAAGCUUUAAGUAAAAGAAAACCACUAAGGGAGAUAAACGGGAUAUUAUAUACUAGUCUUUAGUUGUAAUAUAAUGAAGUGAAUCCAUUUUUUUUUAAAAAAGGGCACAACUUAAAAAAAAGAACAGAAUACUUGCUUAGGAAUAAGAGAAUUCUGGAUAGCUUAAAGAGAGAAACAAAUUCAUGUAGAUUAAUGCUUAGGAAUGUUAAAUAAGAGUACAAUCAAGCACAUUCUUUUCUCCUUCAUAUCGUAGAUAAAUAAAAUACUUGUGAUAGAUUUAAUAUUUAAAGGACUAGAUCUAGAUGCUAUAAAUAAUUAGCUUAUUUUCAUAUUCAAAAUUUAACAAGGGCAUAGAAAGAAAAGAUAAGGAUGAAAAAAAUUAGUUAUUUCAUAAAAAUCUCAUAGAAAACUUCCAAAAGCACCAUAGACAUCAGUUAACCAUCUUCAGAAAACAAACAUGACAGAGAGGUUCACCUGCUUGAGUCUAUCCGGUCAGUCAGCUUUAAACAAACAGAGAAAGUUUCAGCUAGUCGAAUCUAUCUAGUCAAUCAAACGUUAAACAAACCGUCAUCUGCUAAUGCAUGUAAGAUCUCCAAACCGAUUAUUUUAAGGAAAAGCUUGCGUCGACUCUUUAUAAACAACAUCCAAAGUUUGGCACCUUAUACAAAAGAACAUCCCGACAAUAAUGAGAAUAUGACAGCUUCAAACUCAAUUUACCAAACUAAAAAGGGGCUGAGACGACUAUUAGUUCCAAAAAAAAUUGCAAGCAUCGAGUGAUCACAUAUUUGUCAAAAAAAAAAAACUUUCCUUACGACUGAGUAGCUUAUAGAAAAUACAAGAUUAAGAGAGUAGUUCUUGCUCCCUUUAUUUCUGGCUAACCAUAAGAGUCCAGUUUUGAGUAAAAUAAAAGUCCAAAUGAUGACACCAUUCACCAAAAGCAAAGACGACAUUGGACAAUAGACAUGAACUCCUUGAGGCACGUAGAGAGCGUGAUCACUGUCUUGCGAGACCACGUUCACAAAAAUGGUGAUACAUUAUUCCAAACGGAAUUUAUGCUUCCCACGAGAAUAUUCGAAUGUGUUGCACCAUUCUCAUGAGUUGAAACAAUAAAAGAAGAGGAAAACAAAGAGUAUAGAUAUAUCCCUGUGCAGGCUUCGAGAUGACAGCAUGAUUUCAGAAGGCAAGAUAGGGACACACAACUUCUCGAAAUCAGAACAAAAAAAAGGGUGACGAAGGUUCAAAAAAUAAAAUAAAGUGACUAAUUUUGUGUAUCUCACAUGAUUUGAACACACACAAAAAAGGGUAGGAACGAGGAUUUGAGAUGAACUCAGAUUAUUUACUCACAAUAGGAACAACGACACCAAUAUAUGUUUGAAACUGGAACAAGCCCCCUUACUCACAUAUUUACAGGCUUGUAUAUUCCUGAAACAAUUUUUCAGAGAACAAAGCUAUGUUCAGGGAUUCAAGAGAAACUAUAACCACCAACAGUCCAAUGAUGAAACGAAUGCACAAAUAAACAUAAUUACGGACCCACGUAUUCACACAUGAAGUAGAGAAAAUUCAAUCAUCGACAAAUUUGGGGAAAGCACCACAACAACCACCAUAAGCGUGAUCCGUAUUAUGAAAGGGUAUAAUACAUAAGCAAGUACUCCAAUCGUUUAAAAUAUAUCAAUAACUUCAACUUACGCGUUGCUACAUGUUAAGAGCAGCCCCAUUUUUAAAGAAAAUAGAUUUCGAUUAUGCCCAAAAUUUAAACCAUUAUCAUGCCUCGGAUUUACUGAUUGCAAGGCGCACACAUAAAUUGCAUCAAUAUUAUCUCUAAAAAACAGACCAACAACAGUCAAACAGGGGAAAUGGGGAAGGGCUAAACAUGCUUUGAGCAGGAUCAAUUUCAUUUAAUGAAGGUGUUAAUCAAAACACAAGGUGACGAUGAAAUAAAUUUUUCCACAUACCUGAAAAGAGAAGGGAACAAAACCCGAAACACACAUCCUUCUUACUUAAUAAUUUUUAACACCAUAGCGAGUUCUUUACACAUUAAAGUUUAUAACCAAAAACUGUGAUCAACCUUAUUUAUUCACAUUCAUUAAUCAUAAAAGAAGAUUUUUAGCAAAAAAGUGAUGUAAACAGGAAUGUCACAAGACUUCCAGAUGUAAUAUCAAACUGGGAUGGGGAAUUAAGAUCAUAACAAACCACCUUCAGAUCAGAAUAUUGGUCUGAAAGUUAAAAGCAACGAAGGUUUGUCUAAAUACAGUGGACUAGAUCGCAAAACUGGCAUUUAAGCUAAAAUAGUGGAUUGAAAACUAACAAGCAACUCUAAGACAAAACAAUAGAUUCCAAAGCUAAAAUAAGGAAAGAUGAAUCUAAAAAAUGAACCAAUCGAUUAAGGUCAUGAUAGGCAGCCAACAUACAAUUUUGAAUGUUUUAAAAGUCCCUCCCACAACAAAUGAGGCUGCUGGGAUCUUGCAAACACACUAACCAAACGUACACAUAGCUAAGUUAUUAUUACCAGAAUAAAGCAUCUGAAUCGGUAUUAAGAUAACCUCAAAAUGUUUACUAGAACGUUUACAGGAAAAUUUAAACCUUCAUGAAGUGUGUUUUGAGCUUAUUAGGUGGGUUUAAUAACCUACUUAUGUACUGUUAAGUAUGUACAUAGCCCAAUUGUGCCAGAAUUACCCCUUCAAGUUCUCAUUUGUGCAACCAAAUGAAACAUCCAAUUUCAGUCCAAAAUAAAUCAAACUUUAUGGGUUUUUUAUUUAAACUAGAUCCCACACAAACAUAUAAUCUAACAAGAAAUAUAAACAAAUGACAAGAAAAACUAUCUUUACUUUAUGUAUUUGCACUCAAACUCAAAUAGUCUAAAGCCGCAAACAUCCAUACACAACACACAGUUAAGAAUUUACAAAUUAUGCAGUCAAGAUGGAAUAGGAUUUACUCUUACAACUAUUCGCGAAAUCACAUCAGAAUUGCAUCAAAACGUAAGGAAAAUCAAAACGAGAACGAACAAGCACCAUUUGUAGGGGGUGCGCGGAUUUAAUAGGUAUAAUAGAUUUAGUAGGUUUCUAGUGAAUCUAUUUUUAUUUGUGCGUGGAUAUUUUUUAAAUUUUGUUUCAAUAUCUUUUAAUAAUUUACUUUUUUCGUAAGAUAUGUUCAUUAAUUAUUUUAUCCUGUAGUAAUUGCAGAGUUACAAAUUUCUGUAUAAUAAUUUAUCCUAUCUGUGCUAUAAUGUAUAUCUAAUUCUAGAUUCUCAAUGUUAUUUAUUAUCUUGUGUUGUUCUUCUCGUAGUGAGUUUUUUAAAUUAUAUAAACUAUCACAUGUACUUUUAUCUAAAUUUUCUAAGGUUUUUCCUAUCCAUAUUAAUUUUUCUUUUAGGUUUUCCAUUAUUUUUCUAAUUCGGUUUCUAUAAUUAAUUUCAUUAUUUAGAUUUUCUUGAUUUUCUCUAGUUUGUCUAAUAUAUUCUAACAUUUUUUAAUCUGAAUAAUAUCCUUCUGGGUAAAUUUCUUCGUAUAACUGUUCUAGACAAUUUGUAGUUUCAUUUUCGUAGUCUAAUACUUUUUCUAAUAUUAUUUUCUUAAUAUCUAUUAUUUCUAUAUCUUUGAGUAUAUAUAAGAUUNNNNNNNNNNNNNNNNNNNNNNNNNNNNNNNNNNNNNNNNNNNNNNNNNNNNNNNNNNNNNNNNNNNNNNNNNNNNNNNNNNNNNNNNNNNNNNNNNNNNNNNNNNNNNNNNNNNNNNNNNNNNNNNNNNNNNNNNNNNNNNNNNNNNNNNNNNNNNNNNNNNNNNNNNNNNNNNNNNNNNNNNNNNNNNNNNNNNNNNNNNNNNNNNNNNNNNNNNNNNNNNNNNNNNNNNNNNNNNNNNNNNNNNNNNNNNNNNNNNNNNNNNNNNNNNNNNNNNNNNNNNNNNNNNNNNNNNNNNNNNNNNNNNNNNNNNNNNNNNNNNNNNNNNNNNNNNNNNNNNNNNNNNNNNNNNNNNNNNNNNNNNNNNNNNNNNNNNNNNNNNNNNNNNNNNNNNNNNNNNNNNNNNNNNNNNNNNNNNNNNNNNNNNNNNNNNNNNNNNNNNNNNNNNNNNNNNNNNNNNNNNNNNNNNNNNNNNNNNNNNNNNNNNNNNNNNNNNNNNNNNNNNNNNNNNNNNNNNNNNNNNNNNNNNNNNNNNNNNNNNNNNNNNNNNNNNNNNNNNNNNNNNNNNNNNNNNNNNNNNNNNNNNNNNNNNNNNNNNNNNNNNNNNNNNNNNNNNNNNNNNNNNNNNNNNNNNNNNNNNNNNNNNNNNNNNNNNNNNNNNNNNNNNNNNNNNNNNNNNNNNNNNNNNNNNNNNNNNNNNNNNNNNNNNNNNNNNNNNNNNNNNNNNNNNNNNNNNNNNNNNNNNNNNNNNNNNNNNNNNNNNNNNNNNNNNNNNNNNNNNNNNNNNNNNNNNNNNNNNNNNNNNNNNNNNNNNNNNNNNNNNNNNNNNNNNNNNNNNNNNNNNNNNNNNNNNNNNNNNNNNNNNNNNNNNNNNNNNNNNNNNNNNNNNNNNNNNNNNNNNNNNNNNNNNNNNNNNNNNNNNNNNNNNNNNNNNNNNNNNNNNNNNNNNNNNNNNNNNNNNNNNNNNNNNNNNNCUUGAACAUUGGUGGUCUGGAUAUUUAUGUCCGAUUAUCUUACAGUAUCUUGUUAGCAGUCCGUCUGAAAUAAAUCCCUUUUUCAUUGCUCGCGCGGUAGAUUUUUUUUUCUGGGUUAAGUAGCGUCAGUAUCCAUUGUCUUACGUCUUCCAUAUCUGCUUGUCGUAGCUCUUUUGAAUUUGAAUAUAUCAUUUGGUGAUCUCUUGAAUAGUAGCUCCAUAUUGGGUUUCCGUUAGCAUAGUUAUUUGCUAGUUCUUGAAUGAUCGUAGCUAGUCCAAUAAGUCUUUUAUUUGCAUAAAAAUCUGGUAUCUCGAUUCUAGGUAUCUCCGGUUGUUGCGAAAUAUCUUCUGGUAUAAUCAUAUCUCUUGUUAAUCCUAUCUUUACAACUUGUAUAACUGGUUUUAUUUCGUCAUAUAAUAUCUCUGCUGGUGCAGUAUAACACUUUAUAUAAAAUAAAUUUCCUUUUGUUAUUCUUUUGUAGGUAGUGAAUAUCUUGUAUAAUUCCUCCAUAGCUGUUAGCUCUUCUCCGUCUUGGGUGUAUAUGGUAUUUAGUAGUCCAUAGUCAAAACAAGUUUUAACUAGGCUUGGGUUAGUUUUGGGUAGUGCUAUCAGUUUAUUGUAUCCUUGUAGUUUUUGGGUUAUAUAAUUGGUAUUUGGUUCUUGGAUAUUUGUAGCUCUGGGGUUAUGGUUUAGAAAGGUUUGGACUCUAUAUAUAUUUUCUAUGUAUUUUUGGGCUGUGUAGUUGUAUAUUUUCUUGUCUUGGUUUAGGCUGUCUCGGUAUGUGUUAACUUGUGGGGGUAUGAAUAAAUGGUCUUUUUGUGCUUUUGGGGUAAAUGGUUUUUCAAAUAUUUUGUUCAUAUUUACAUUCUGGUAUCUUGGUCUAUUAACUCCUUUGCUUGUACCUGCAGAAGUAGAUUGAUAAAUGUUAUGGGUUUUAUGGAGUGUCCCAACGUCUCCUUCUAGCUCUGGAUUUUUAAUGUCUUUCGAUCGACAUAGCUCUGCACAUUGCUGAGUUAGCUGAUUUGUAGCUAUAGACUUCAGUUUAUCUUCAUUAGUCUUUAGCUUUUCUAUCUCAUUACCCAUACUGUCCACUUUCAUUGAAAGCGUAGUUAGGGUGUUAAGUAUUUUUUCUAGAGUAUCUUCCUCUACUAUUUCAGUCUGUGUAGCUUUGUCUUGAUAUGUAAUCUGCAAUAACAUUUUUGUUAGUACUGAUCACUUCAAUUGUAAAUGUGAAAUUUAAUAUAUUUAAAACUAGUCUUCGAAUCUCUUUUGUUGUAACUGAAUUUUGUAUUUUCUUUGUUAACCACCAGCGUACCUGUGUAUUAUCUGUUCGUACAAUAAAUUUGUUAUAUACAAUAUAUGGCUCAAAUGCUAAUAAACAUUUAUAUAAUGAACAUAAUUCUUUCCUAUUUAUUUCCCAUUUUAUUUCUGUCUCGUUGAACGUACCUGAGUAGUAUCUACAAUGGUGUUCUAUUUUUUCUGCUUCAUAUCGAUAUUUAAGUACUCCUCCGUAACUAUAUUCACUUGCAUCUGCUUCUACUAUAUAUAUAAAUUUUCUAUUUUCAUCUGGAAAUUGCAAUUUUGGUAAUUCUCUACAAAGUAAUUUUAUUUUUUGAACUUGUUUUUUAUCUUUUUCAUCAUAAUUAUAUUCUAUAUCCUUUUUUAAUUUUUUCUGCAGUGGUUUUAAGGUUUCUGCUAAUUUUGGAAUAUAUUCUCUUACUUGGUUUACUAAUCCUAAAAAUGAUUGUAAUUUCUUUUUUGUAUCUAAUUCUUCUUUCGAAUUUAUUAUUUUUUGUACUAUAUGUUGUUGCAUUUUUACUCCACUUUUAUCUAUUUGUAUUCCUAAAAAUUCUAUCUGGUUUUUCAUAAUUUCAGCUUUCUUUUUGCUUAGACUUAUUCCUGAUUUUUCUAUUAUAUCUGUGAAUUGUUCUAAUAAUUUUAAAUGUUCUUCUUUGGUUUUGGUGUAUAAUAAUAUAUCAUCUAUGUAUACUAUACAAUUAGAUAAUUGUUUAAAAUAAUUAUCCAUAAAAUGUUGAUAUCUACCUGGUGCAUUUUUAUAUCCAAAUGGUAACACGUUCCAUUCAUAAAAUCCUUGUGGUACCGUAAAUGCGGUUAAUUCUUUAGAUUCUUCUUCUAGCUUUAGGUGGUAAAAUCCUGAUUUACAAUCAAAUUUGCUAAAAUAAUUAUAUCCUUGGAUUUGUCUUAUUUUUAAUAUCUUAUUUGGUAUCGGAUAAUUAUAUGUUAUAGUUUUUGCAUUUAAAUUUCUAUAGUCAAUAACCAUCCUACUUUUUCCUCUUUUUUGUUCACUAUGUUUAUUUACUAUAAAUGCUGGACUAUUAUGUUUACUAUUACUUUUUUGUAUAUAUUGUUUUUCUAAUAAUUCAUCUAUGUGCAUUUUAAAUUCUUUUAAAUCAUCAAAAUUAUAUGUUAAUGGUUUUUGUGUUAUUAUGCUAUUCUUAUCUAUUAAUUCAAUUUUUAUAGUAGUUUUGUGUUUUUCCCAUCCUUUUAAUGGAUCUUCACUAUAUAAUUGUUCUAAUUUUUUCUGAAUUAUUUCUAUUUUAUUUAUUGAAAAUAUAGUUAUUUCUGUUUUAUUUAUCGAAAAUACUACUAGUUCUACUGUAUCUUCAGUAUUGUUUAUAUUUUCUAACUUUUGUGUAAUUUUUUCACUUCCUUUUAUCCAAUCAGUUUUCUUUCUUAUUUUAUUAUUAACUCUUUUUGCUCUUACUUUUUGUUUGCAUGGUGUUGUAAACCACCAGUCUGUUUUAGUUAUUAUAUGUGGGUAUAAUUUAUCUAAAAAUGGCAUUCCUAAAAGUAUAUCUUUUGAUGUUAAUUCAUAGUUAUAAAUUUCUUCUAUUGUUAAUAUCUUAUCCCAUACUUGUAUUUUUACAUUCCUAGCUUUAUAAGUAAUUAAGCUUCCUUCAUUAUUAAAUCCUUUAACUAUUAUUGGUGUUUUUAGUUUAUCCCAUUUGCUUUCUGGUAAGCAAUUAUAUCUACAUAAAUUAGCUUCUGCUCCUGUAUCUAUCAUAGGCGUAUAAUAUCUACUGUAAUAUCCUUCUACUACUAUCUUCAUUAAUACAUGUAUCUUCAUUUCAUGUUAAGGCUCUUUUUAAGAAUAACUUUUCUUGGUUAUAUGUUAAGGUUAAUUGUGUAUGUUCUAUAUUAUAUGGUUUUACUUGUUCUAACCAUUUUAUUCCUAAUAUUAUAUCUGCUUUUUGCAUUUCUUCUUUUACUUCGAAUUCUAUUUUUAUUUUUCUAACUCCUAAUAUUAUUUCUUUUUCUGCUAGAUUUUUAUUAUUUAUUAAACUUCUUGGUAAGUCUGGGCAUAUAUUAUUGUCGGUUUUUAUUUCUUCAUUUUUUACUAGAUAUUUUGCUAUAUAAUUUUCUUCUUGUCCUGUGUUCAAAAGUAUUAAAUAUUCUUUUUCAUUUAUUUUUCCCGUUAUGUAAUAUUGGUUUAAAUUACUUAUUGAGUUUGUUUCAUAACUUGUUCUUUUUGAUGAGCUUGAUGAUUCUGGCUUUUCAUUAGCUAUUCUUUUCGUUGUACUUAUUCUAUCAUUUACUAUUUCUAAAUUUUCUUCUGUAUCUAUGUCUCUAUAGGUAUAAUCAUUAUAAUCUAUUGUUUUUACUAUUUGUUCGAAUGGGCUUUCUAUUUGUAUUUUGUUAAUCUUAUUUUUUCCUGUUAUUUUAUGUUUUGUUGUUAAUACAUAUAGGUUUUUACAUCUUGCUGUAAAUAUUUUACUUCCUGGGGUUAACUCUAUUCCUGAUAUUUUCCAAUAUAAUACUAAUGAUUUAUCUAUAUUCCUAUCUGUUACUGCUACUGAAUAAUUUGCACUUAUUAUAAAUUUAAAUUUUUGGUAUAUUAGAUUUCCUUUUACGGCAGUUAUUAUGCUUUUUUCUAUAGGUUUUAUAAUUCUAUCGUCUGCUAAAUAUAAUUCUAUUGGUGUAUCUAUUCCUUCUCUAAAACAUGCUUUUAUUAAUAUCUCUGUACCUCCAAGGUGUACAUAUUUUAUUGGAUCUCCUUUACUUUUUAUAUCAUUUAUUUCUUUAUUAAUUAUUCUUUUUGUUACUAGUGGUAUACUAGCUUUUCCUUUUGCAUAUCUGCAAUCUAUUACAUGUUCUUUUUGGCAUACUACAUAAUAUUCAUCUUUUUUCCUAGUAAAAAUAUUUUUUAUUGUUGGUAUUUUAAAUAUUUUGUCUACACUUAAAUCUAAUUCUUUUCCUUUUAUUUCAUCAAAUAUAUUACUGUCAAAUAUUAUUUUUUGUUCCGUUCCUUCAUCAUUUAAAUAUUCUUCCUUUGUUAUUAUUUUUAUAUCUUCUUCAGUCAUUUGAUUCAUCUAUUUCGCUAUCUAUUUCAUUAUCUGUUUCGUUUUCUGAAAUUUCAUAUAUACUAUCUUCACUUUCUAAUUCAUAAUCUAUAUAAUCUAUCUGCAUGUAUUCGGUAUUUUCUAUUUUUAUUUCUGAUAUUUGUUUAUUUUUUGGAUUUUUAGGUAAUUUACAAUCUCUAGCUAAAUGUCCUAACUUUCCACAAUUAUAACAAGUACAUUCUUUUAUAGAUUUCUUUUUUCUAUAUGGUCUUUUAUGUUUAUAAUUUUUUACAUAGUAUCUUUUUCUUGGUUUUUUAUAUUUAUAUUUUGAUUUUUUAUAUUUCUUAUAUUUCUUAUGUCUUUUUCUUUUCUUAUAAUAUCUUUCUUCGCAUCCAAAUUGGGGUGCUAUUUUAUUUUUGCAACAAGCUAAAUUUCUUAUUAAUGUUUUUUCCAUUUUUAAUUCUUCUCUAUAUUUUUCACAUAAGUUUCUAUACCAUUGUUGUAAAUAUUUUAUUCUUGCUCCUAACGUAUCUACUAUUUUUGCUUCUUCCCAACUUUUUAUUAUUUUCGAACUAAAUGGCUCGGGUAAUUUAUUAAAAUAUAAUUUUCUUAUUUCUUUACUUUCUUCUAUACUAUAUGCUCCUUUGUAAUAAUAUUCUUUAAAUGCGCAAGUAUAUUCAUCUAUAUAACACAUAUUACAUAUUGCUAAUUUUAACAUUAAAUUUCUAUUUGUAUCUUUUUCUUCAUUUUGUUCUUCUUCGAUUGUUGUCGUACUACCAAAUUCAUCUUUUAUAGCUGUUUCAUAUUUUUUUAAUAAUUCUAUAGGUGUUAGUUUAGUUGUUGUCGAUGAUGUUCCUUCUAUAGGUUUAUUAGUUCUUAAUACUUUUUUGCUAUUUUCGGUUAGAUUUGCAAACCAUAGUUUUACUGAUCCUAUUAGUGUUUUUUCUAUAUAUUCCGGUGCAUCUGUUAUAUUUAUAUUAUUAUCUAAUAAUUGUUUUGUCAUAUAUCCUAUCCAUAAUUGUAUUGUUUUUUCUGUAUCUAUUACACAGUCUAGAUCUAAAAAGUUAUAAUUUUUAUUCACUAUUUGUUUUGGUUUCCAUUUAUCAUAUUCAUUAUAUUUUUUAAACUUAUUCUUAUGGUAUAUAGGUUUUCUUAUUUCUGUUGUUUUAGGUAUUAUAUUUUCAUUUUCUUUUUUAUCAAGAGUAUUUAUUUCUGUGUGGGUAUUUUCUAAGUUUUCCUCAUUAAUUUUUUGUUCUUCAUUGAUUUCUAAAUUUUUUGUAUUUGUUAAUAUUUCUGUGUAUGUUUCACUAUCUUCGGACUCAUAAUUAUCUGUCUCUUCAAUAUCUAUAUUAUUUAUUUCUAAUUCUUCAUUUUUUAUUUCUAAUUUUUCCUUAAAUUGAUUUAUCUCAUUUAGUAAUUUCUGUUCUCUAUCUUUUUCUUCUUUUUCUUUUUGUCUUUGUUCAUACAGUUCUUUUAACAUUUGUAAUUCUUUUUCUAAUUCAGCAAUUCUACUAUUUUUGGUUUCUUCUAUUUUUCGUAUUUCUUCCGUAGUUUGUUGUUUUAUUUUUUCUAUUUCUUUUUUCCUAUCUAUCUCUUCAUUUUCUUUUUCUAUUCUUACCAUUGCUGUUAAUUUAUCUUCUAAUUUUAAUUCUUCUUUUUCUAACAUUAGAUAUAAAUGUUCACCUAUUUUCUUAUAUCUUCGUCCUAGAUUAGAAAAUACUAUUUUUAUUUUUGAUCCUUCGUAGUUUUCAUAUAUUUUUUCAUCUAUUAUAAAUUCUUCUUUAUUCAUUUUAUUGUGAAUAGGUCAUGUUGAUAUACAUAUUCUAAACUAUCUAUUUGUGAUUCUAAUUUUGAUAUUUCAUCUUUUUGUGUAUCUAUUGAAUUUUUACUAACUCCGGCAAAUAUAUUAUAAUGUAGUCUUUCUAUUCUUAUUUUUAAUUCUUUACGUUUUUCAGAGAUAAUUUGUUUUAAUUCUUUAUAUUGUUGUAUUUUAUUCAUUUUAAAUUAUAUUUAUAAUAUCUCGGUGGAUAUCUAAAUCUAAUUUUAUCAUAAUUAGGUGGUAUAUGUUUCAUUCUUCUAGAUUUUAAAUGUGUUAUUAAUUUUGAUUCAGUACUAGAUAUUAAUGUAAUUAAGUAGGCUAGUUUUUGUGGAUUUUCUUUUGUUUUAUUUAGAUUUAUAUAUUCUGAAUAAUUACUAAUUAAAGAUUCUUUAAUUUUUCUAAAAGCUUCUCUAUUUUUAAAUGGUCUUCGCAUAAUUAAUUUAAUAUUUUUGUAGGUAAAUUUUUUAACUCUAACUCUCUAACUAUUCUAACUCUAGUAUAUAUCUCUUCCGUAUUGUUUAAAUUGCUUAGCUCUGAUACCAUUUGUAGGGGGGUGCGCGGAUUUAAUGGCUUUCAGAAUCAAAACUACAUUUCAUUUGCAAGAUCCAAAAUACAACACCAACACCAACACCAACACCAACAUCGAAGCAAAUCCCACUCAACAGAAUCCAAAUAGAUAAGGGAAAAGAAAAGAAAAUGAAAUGAAAAUGUGGUAGAUUAGCACCUUUUUUGGUGCAGCAAAACUGGAGCUACGGCGACAAGGGUUUUUCAACGGCGAAUUCAACUCCGACGAUUCUGAACGUCUGAUCUCUAAUUUGCUCUAUUUUCACUUAUUUUGACACUAUUUUUUCUCUCUUUCCUUAAUUUUCUCCCUUUGCCCCAAAGGAAUGGCUGAAGCCCUCCUUUUAUAGGCAUAUUUUAGAAUUUUUGAUACUUAUCAGACUACAAAUAAUUUAACGGACUAGAUCAAUUUGUGUGGAAUGACAAAGUGGAUAUGGGAAUUGUUUUGAGUUUUGGGCUAAUUUUUAAACUUCUGAAAUUUAUAAAUAAGAGUUGGGUUUAGGUGAAAUAAAAAAUUGAAAUAAAGUUAUCGUUGCCCCGAAUAUUCUUUUUCUACUGAAAUUAAUUUUAUCGAUGUUCUCUGCUGCCCUAAAAUUAUUUUUAGUCUAAUGUAUAUAAAUUAUAUAAAUAAUUUAGUAUAUGCGUCCGAUUUAAUAAUUGGUAAUUUAAAUUUUUAUAAUGCUAACAAUAUAUAUAUAGUAACUUUAACUUUUAUAAUAUUAAUAGUGUGUGUGUGUAUAUAUAUAUAUAUAUAUAUAUGCAUUAAAUCGUAUAUAAGAUUAUAAUAAAAAUAUGCACAUACGCAUAUAAUAAUAUAUAUAUAUAUAUAUAUAUAUAUAGUCACAAUAUAUCGUCUGAAAAAUAAAAUUAGAAAAAACGCGAAUGCGAUUAUCAAAAAGAUUUUUUUUUUUUUAAAUUUUGAUGUUAAAUAAUUAUUUAUAUUUAAUUAAAUUAUUUUACCAUAUUAUAGGAAAAUAAUAUUCUCUUUUUUAUUUUUUUCGAAAUUCAUAGAGAUAAAAAUACGAAUUUAUUUUAAAAAAUUAUUUAAGGCCGAGGAGUACCAAAAAAAUAAAGGAAAUGGAGCGAGUUAAAAUUGGGUGUCAACGAGUAUAAGAUGAGGAAAUCUUUUUUGUGGCAUCUCAAAUAUGAAAUAUGAAAUAUAAGAUAUACUAAUGCAACGACACUUUUUCAAUACCAAGUGGAGUCAAUCAACAAAUUUUAAGAAAAACUCAUGAUAGUAUGUGAAUAACAAUGGGACGUCUAAAUGCACAAAAAUUCUUCAAGAAAUAAAUCAAUAAGCAAAGUGAAGCAAAUUGCAUACAUUAAACAUGUUUGAAAAAUUAUAUUCAAAGACAAGAUAAAAAAAAAAGGUAAAAGAUUAAUUUCAAGAAAAAAUGUCCAAUUAUGCCUACUCCUAUUUUAGUUUUACACCCUUUCAACAAAAUCUAUAAACCUAACAAAUUUUCAAUUUAAAUAAGAGAAAUCAAAGAUGGUUUUGACCUUGAAGACGAGUAAAACAUGAUCACAGACAUAUCAAAAGAACUAUAACAUAUAAUCAUGGAGAAAAUAACUCUUUAAUUAAAAAAAUUAAGAAUCGGCAAAAGAGUUGGAUCUUAAAAGUAGCCCUUAAGUUAUAAUUUUUACAUGUGAAUGGGCCAACUAUCAUGUGUAUGUCAAAGUGGUCAACUUCAAUCUUAAGCGGUGAUUUUGCAAAUCGAUAGGCCACAAACAUAGCACACUAUGAUAUGCCUUUCAAAAAUAACACCAAAUCCCUAGGUACAAGUAACUCACUACUUCGAAUUGAGAAACAAUUUCACAGACCCUUAACAAUAGUAACUAUUUUUUCGAUAUAAAGAAACAACUUUACAUGCUAAAAGCAAAUAUGUCCACCAAUAAAAAAUGUAAGCAAAGCAUGGGUACGUAGUUUAAACAAGAAAAGGUCGAAACUUUAUUCAUCUAAUCAUAAUAAUCGAAGAAGAAAGUCAAAGAAACACGUUCAACUAUUGUUAGCUCAUUUUACACCAUGAAUAUAAAAAUAGCCAUAAUAUUGAUACCACAACAUCAUAUGGCCUUAAAGACCAUAUACAGCCAACAAUCCCAACAAAUAAAAUUACAACUAUAAAACUACAAAACUACAAAACUACGAAGAAGGAGAUGAAGAAGAAAACGAUAACAAAACUAAAAGAUAAAGGUGUGUUUACCAUUUUCGGAGAAACAAAAUGGGACUUCAAGUUUUCUUCGGAGUCUUGAUCACCACCGAAAAGCAAUCUUUCGAGAAUCCCAAUCAGUCUAUCGCUUGAAAAAAUCUUACUAAAAAAAUGUUUAACUCUUUGCUCAAAAAAAUUUUCCACUCUUUGAGACUUUUUAAAUUUUUUCACUAAAAAAUUUCAACUAUUUGCUCAAAAGCCUUUCAACUCUUUGAAGCUUGGUCUUUCUACCAAAAUAAUGUAAGUAUUUAUAAAAAAGGAUAAAGAUUCAAUUCUUUUCAUCCACUAAUAUGGGAAAAAAAAUUUAGGGGUGUUUUGGGAAUUUAAAAUUGAGGAUAAGGUUUGUUGGAUGAUAAGGUGAUGUGAAAUUGUACAAUCUAGUACAAUUCUGAAUUUCAAAAAUGAAAAAAGGACAGGGUUGAGAAAAAAUUGCACAAUUUAGUACAAAAUUUAAAUUUCAAAAACGAAAAAAGGACAAGGUUGAGGUGGAAUUGUAUAAUCUAGUGCAAAUUUUGAAAUUUAAAUUUAAAUUUUGGGAUUUGAAUGGGUAGAUUGGCUUAGUCUAUUUAUUAAAUACCCAAAAUUAAAUUAAAAUUAGCCAAUCUUAUUUAAAUUUUGGCCAAUUGAGAAUCAAUUGGUCAAUUAAAUUGCAAAUAUGACCCUAAAUAAUAAUUUUAGUCAAUUUUAUUUAAAUUAAAGUCAUAUUGAAAAUCAACUGGCCAAUUACAUUGCAAUUAUGGGCAAAUUGAUUUCAAUUAUGACCAAAUUCAAUAAAUUGACUAAAAUUUAAAUAAGAUCCGAUAUAAAUUAUUAAUUUAUUUAACCCCGAGAUUCUUGAUUAGAUAAAAUCAAAUAAAUAUUUCUCAAAAUAAAUAAUUUUUUGAGAACAAAUUGUAUUUCAAUCAUGAUUUUACCCAUUUGAAUUAAUUUUCAAGAUUAAUCUCAAUAACAGUCCAAUUUUGAUAAAAAUAUUCAUUUAAGUAAUAAAAUUUAUACAAUCUCGUAUAUGUAAAUAUGAAACAUAUAGUCGUCACUUAAAUGACAAAAUUAACCCAAAAUAAAUAUUUUAGAACAUAUUUACCUAGAUGAAAUAAAUAUUUUGAUUUUAUUAAAAACAGAAGAAACUCAGGAUUAAAUUUAGUUGUAAAGGGCAAAAAUUAGGUGUCUACACUUGGAAUGCACGGAAUAAAAUAAAAAAAUGAAUUUCUGCUAAAGUUAUGCAGCCUCUCAAAUAUAGAUAACAAACGCCUCUGUACCGAUGUGCAAGACUCUACUUAACUUGGAUAUACUAAUGAGACCAAUGAACCUAUGGCUCUGAUAUCAAUUUAUCAAGAUCCAAAAUAAACACGUGAUGGCACUUUUCAAACCCUUCAUACAAGCAAGUCUAAUCUAAUAAAAAGGAAGACGAAUAAAAGAAAAUAGAAAUGGAAGCAAAAGAACAAAGUAAUCACAAAUAUAUAACCAAGACACGAGUCUUCCAAAAUACAUCCCAAGUCUGGUUGUCACUAGUAUAAUCCUCUAAUACAAAUUCAGAAUAACAACAACAAUCUAAAAUGUCUUAGAUGCAAAUAAAAUAUGAGAUAUAAGUAGAGAGAUCUGAGAAGUUACGAAGUCUGCCAGCCACUACCUCGAUCUCCACAAUAUCUAACGUCAAAGAAAUGUAAUCUACAAAAUCUACCACUUAAAUAAAUAUCUACAUAAGGUGCAGAAAAAUAAAACAAGUAACAAAAAGCAAGAAUGAGUAUGAAACCACGUGUACUCAACAAGCAACGUCGAUAACCAACUCUAAUACAAAGAGAUGGUGAGAACCACCACCCUAAUUACCCAAGGUUUCCCCAAAUAAAUCUAUAGUCAUUAAAUUCUCUACUUCAUCCUAACAGGGUAAACCAACACAACAAUCAUAAUAUUAUCCAUAAACAAGGUAAGCACAUAAGUCUAGAUGAGUCAACACUAGCCACAUUAUGAUCAACAAGAAUAGAAAAAUAUUUAUAAGGAACACUCACUAACACAGUUUAUCAAGCUUAUAAAUUAUCAUAUUUUAAACAAUAAUCGGUGAUAAAAUAGUGAGAAAGUAAAAGUAUGUGUAUGUCAUGAUACCACUAGAUACGAUACUACAUGUCUCACAAAUCAAGUCAUAGACUUACCCUGUGUAUCAUCGAUACCUCAACUCCCAAAUUAACCAAGAAUUAGAAUAGCAUGAUAUAGCAAAGUGAAAUGAAUACUCAAAACACAAUAUCACAAACAAGAUUCAAUAAUGAUAAUUAACUAUAACAGUAAGCACUCAACGAUAAUAUCAAACCAUACAAAGGAAAUGACAUGCAAUGCAAGUGAUGAAGUAUAAUAUGAUGAUGAUGAUGAUGAAUGAUUGAAAGCCACCGCAUGAUUUUUUGUAUACACCUACUGAGCCUCAACGCUCCCAAGAUAGGACCCGUGGGAGGUUUGCAACCCAUAUGCUCUUAUAAUCUCAUUAUCAUGUCUCAGGUCAGCAUUACCGACAGAUCCCUUGGUAUAGGCAUUUUCUAAAGUGACUCAUUUUUCUUACAAAAUCAGAGUGGCUUAGUGGCACCAAUGUCUCAUGAAUAUGCAUGUGUGAUAAGGAUGUAAUUCUUACAACCAAUUAGUACGAAGAUCAAAAACCCAUUCAAUACAUAUAUAAGUAAGCUCGGAAUCAACACAAUAUAUCAAUAAUUCAUGAUAUUAGUUUCCAUUUGGCACCACUAGAAUAAAAAAAUCAUGUAGUCAUCAAUAUUAUCAUUUUUAACUCCCCGCUCGGGCAUCACUUUAAUGAAUAUGCAAUUAAAUGCUCAUAUAAGGCCUAUAAUAUCAAGUCAAGCUCCCCACUCGAGCAACACAAUAAUGUAUAAGGCACUUAACGCACAAACAUAAUCAAUAACAUCAAGUCAAGUCCUUACACAGAUGUCACAAUAAUAUAUCAUCUCAAAUAAAAAACAAUAUGCAUAUAAGCCCCUAUUCAGCACACGAUCAUAAAUAAUUACUCAAGUCCAUGAUGAAGUUCGCAUAAGCCCCACAUGGACAACACGGAAUAAACAACAAAUCUCGAUCAUAAUAUAUCAUGGACUACCCAAACCUAACUAGGUUCAUACAUUAAGCUUCGUCAACUAUUACAAGUCUAUUCAUACUUUAAGUAUCCUCUAAACCUCAAUCAUUCCACCAAAUAACGAUAAUAGCAUAAUCAUUCCCUAAAAAGUCAUUAAAAUCUAAAUGAUUAUAUCAAAGUCCAAUAAACACGAUAAGUAUUUACUAAGUCAUCUAUCUACCUUCCACUCUAAGGAUAUUCACAAGAAGUAAGACUAACUAGGAUAAACAACUAUAUAACUACAAUCCAUCAAGGGCUCCGGCACCCACUGAGAUAUUCACCAUUUUAUCUAAGCGGUAUCCCCGGUGCUAAACGAUACACAAAAUACAAUAAAAAAAUAUACAACACACAAACAUUUUGAAAAUAGUCAAGGUACAUCUUAACUUGCUUUUAAAGAAGAUCCACAAACCCAACAUAGUUCAAAGCCUCAAUCGAAAGCUUAACUCUCUCGAAUCAACACUAACGUGUUCAACCUAAUCAAAUAUAACAUCUAUAAGUCAAAAGGAGUCCAUCGAUACUCAUCGACUAUAUUUAUUUUAGGUCCAAAAUCCACUUUGAAAAACAUUUCCAAAAACAUAAGGGUAAAAUUAAAAUUUUAUUUAAAAAUAAUUUUUUCAAUAUCAAGAGGAGUCUAUAUUUGAAAACAUAAGCAAAAACGAGUAUAAAUCGGACCUCAAAUUGAAGGAAAACCAAUUUACACUUUAUCGCAUAAAAACCUUCAAAAUUACAUUUACAAUCAAGGAUUUGAAAUUAUUAAGAUAUUGGGUAAUGAUAGAAUAAGGAUUUGAAAACUUACCCAUGAAAAAAAUCUUAAAACCCCCUUUGAAAUCAUCCAAAACUGAGCUCUCAAAUGUGAAAUAUAGUGAAAAUAAGGUUUUGGGUCGAGAAAGGGACUUAAAUUAUCCAGGUAAAUAAUGGCCUUCACGAAUGCGGAACCCUGACUAUGAACGUGAAAGUCAACUUGACCCAAACUCUGCGAAAUGGGCCAAACAUCAUAAAGGUGUGAAGAAAUGGACUGUAACGCCCCGAAAAUACACCCUAGACGCCAUAUGGUGCUUACGAUCUCGAAGGACCACAAACUCACCCACGAGCUGGUACCUACUAUUAGCACUGAAUAGUAUAGUAACAAAAUAUAUAUGUGUGGAAAUAACUAAAUAAUGUCAAAGGUUUAAACCUGAGAUCAUUACUGAAUCAUGAGUCUGAAGACAUACUGAAAGUCAAAUAAAAACACCGAUACACUGACUAAUUGUCCUUUGUCUGAAAGCUACUGACUAACUGUCCAUUGUCUGAAAGCCUCUAACUGACUAAAAAGAGUUGAUGAGAUAGGCCCCAACUAACUUCAACUGUCUAACUGAAAUGAAAAGUUGAACUACUAAAAUAACUUAAGUAAAUAAUUAUGUCCUUGAUAGAUAAUGACUCACCAUAACUACUGCUGCUUAUAGACGGAUCUGUCUAAGCACAGUCAAAAAAUUGAGCAUCCGAACCUAUGAUAUAAGAUAUCAUAGUACAAAAAAAUGUAUGUGAUCAGUACUUUGAAUGUACUGGUAUGCGAGAUCAGGUUAGGCUGAAAUACAAAGGUUUAUAUGCAUGAGAUAAUGACUGAAUGAAUAGCAUAAGAUAACUAAGUUUAAAUACAUGAAAGCUAUAAAAUCUGAGAAUGCAUGACUAAGCAUAUAACCUGAUUCUGAAUUAGUCUAUGAACUGAAAUACUGAAAUACUGAUAACUGAAUAAUUGAUAACUGUAUGUUAUGGUCAAACAAACCUAAAACUGAAUUCUAUACUAAAUAUUGGACUGAGACUGUGAGAGCUAACAUCUAACUGAUAUGCCCCAAUAUGAGCUAAUUGGGGUCCAACAUAUGAAUCUAGUUAAAAGGGUGUCAGUACCGUUCUACGGGUACUAACAUUGGCUGUGCGGAUCCACUGAACUGAUGUCCCGAAGGACUAACGAGUCACCCUCAACUGGCAAGUACUCUAAUGAGAUAUGUGUCAACCCUCAACUGGCAAGUGGACAUCUCAACCUACAUGGGCUACAUAGUUACGGAACACAGGGAUUGCUACUAUGGAUCACAUCCUCUACUGGCAGGUGAACCCCCAUCCCUGGGUUCACUCGAUGUUAAAUCCUACUCCCAACUGAACUGACUCGGAUUACAGAUCCGAUCUAAGUUUGACUGAUAUAAUAACUGACUAAACUUAUAAUUCUCAAAUAUAUCUGAAACCAUUCUAAAAAUACUGAGACUAAGUAAUAAUCUAAGUUUUUGGGUAUUAGUAACCCCCAGGACUCGAUAGCAAUAACAAUAGGAUCAUACUAAAGCUUUGGGAAACAUAAUAAUUAGUCAUUAUUCAAAACUCAACAUUUUAGGCAUUUUAUCAAACACAUGUGUGUCUGAGUUAAAGCUUGAGAACAGCUAAAUCAUGUGAUAAUAACGUAAUUGCAAUAUUAAGAUAUGGAUUAAGGAUGUAACGUGUGAAUAUCACCAUUCAAACAUGUUAAGGGCAAUUUCCAACGAAAACACAUGGUAAACAUAAUUUGUAAUCAAAGUUCAUAAUAGCUUCAUGAUUAUAACUCAUAAUAACAUAUAAAAAUCAUAACUUUAAACUUGAAAAUGGGUUCUUGGACUCCAUGGGUGAAGAGGGCCCAUGGAUGAAUAUCUAAAUGCCUUAAUUGAAGAAUUCAUUAAGAUUCGUGAUGGUUUUCUUGAAAAUUAAGAUUAAAUCCCUUGUUUCUUUUGAAAAGGCUAGGUUUUGUUCUUGAGAGAGAGAGCGCUAUCAUUUGAGAGAAUUUUGUGUAAAAGAUGACACAUAAUGCUUUUGGGACCCUAAAUCCCGUGUUAUGGAUAGAUUAGGGUGAGGGAAAUGACUUAAAUACCCUCCUAGACCUGAAACUCAUUAAACUGAAUCGAACUGGUCAAUGAGAAAUGCGGCACACCGUAGGGCUCUAUCGACGCGAUAUGCACCGUGCUGCGGGGCUCCUUACCAAUGCAAAAUGUGAUGCAUCAUGGAGCCUUACUAUUUUGACCAUCCAAAUAGGUCUCAAACAACAACAACAACAAACCCAGUAUAUUCCCAUAUCGAGGGGGUCUGGGGAGGGUAGAGUGUACGUAGUCCAUACCACUACCUCUAAAGAAGUAGAGAGGCUAUUUCCGAUAGACCCCCGACUGAAGACAAAGGAUAGUAUAUAAAACAUCAAAGGUAUGGAACACGAUAAAAACAUAGGUACGACACCCACAAAAAAUUAUACAUUGCCAAUCAAAGGACACUGAAGCCCUCCUACCUACUGACUAUGACUCAUCCACCCACCCUAUCCCUCUACCCUAAUAUUCUUCCUUCAUACCUUUCUAUCUAGGGUCAUGUCCUCAGUCAGCUGUAAUUGCUCUAAGUCAUGUUUAAUCACUUCCCUCCAGUAUCUCUUCGGUCUACCUCUACCCCGCUUGAAACCAUUCAAGGCCAACCUCUCACACCUAUGAACCGGGGCAUCCAUGCCCCUCCUCAUCACAUGACCAAACCAUCUCAACCUCACUUUUUGUAUUUUAUCCUCCACCGAUACUAGUCCCACCUUCUCCUGAAUAAUCUCAUUCCUAACCUUGUCAGCUCUUGUAAAUCAACAUAUCCAACGCAAUAUCCUCAUCUCCACCACCUUCAACUUUUGGAUAUGAGAAUUCUUAACCGGCCAAUACUCUGCUCCAUAUAACAUAGCCGACCGGAUUACAACCCUAUAAAAUUUGCCUUUCAGCUUGGGGGCACCUUCUUAUCGUAUAAAAUUCCCAAAGCGGGCCUCUAUUUCAUCCAACUUACCCCAAUACGGUAAGAGACAUCCUUAUCUAUAUCUCCAUUCCCCUGAAUUGUAGACCUAAGAUACUUAAAACUAUCUUUCUUGCAAACCGCCUGGGAAUCCAACUUCACAAUUACCUCCUCCUCUUGCCUCGAGUCACUAAACUUGCACUCCAAGUACUCCAUCUUGGUCCUACUCAACUGGAACCCUUUAGACUUCAGGGUUUGCCUCCAAACCUCUAGCUUAUCAUUAACACCUCGAUGCAAAUCAUUAAUUAAAACUACAUCAUUCGUAAAAAGCAUACACCAAGACACCUCGCCUUGUAUACUCCACGUCAACACAUCCAUCACUAAGGCAAAUAAAAAUGAACUAAGAGUUGAUCCUUGAUGCAACCUUGUCAAGACUGAGAAAUGCUCGAAAUCUCCUCCCACUAUCCUUACCCGCGUCUUCGCCCCCUCAUACAUGUCUUUAAUUGCUCUGUUAUACACCAUAGGGACCCCCCUUGCCUCAAAACAUCUUCAAAAAACCUCUUUAUGGUCCUUGUCAUACGUCUUUUCUAAGUCAAUAAACACUAUGUGAUAAUCCCUCUUCCUUUCUCUAUACUGCUCAACCAGUCUCUGCACUAGGUGGAUUGCCUUAGUCAUAGAACGACCAGGCAUAAAUUCAAAUUGAUUCUCCAAAAUAGACACAAUCUUCCUUAGUCUCUGCUCCACCACCCUCUCCCAAAUCUUUAUUGUGUGACUCAACAACUUAAUACCUUGGUAGUUGUUGCAACUCUGAAUGUUACCCUUAUUCUUAUACAAAGAGAUCUACGUGCUUCAUCUACAUGUCUCAGGCAUUUUUGCGGACUUGAAAAUGUUGUUAAACAAGUUGGUCAGCCACCUCAACCCUGCCUCACCAGAGAACUUCCAAAAAUCCAUCGGGAUCUCAUCGGGCCCCGUCGCCCUGCCCCUUUGCAUCUUGUGAAUAGCCUCACUGACCUCCUCUACCUUAAAAUGCUGACAAUAGCCAAAAUCACGACACUCCCCGAUAUUAAUAAACUCUCCUAACACAACACCUCUAUCUCUCUUAUCAUUUAAGAGCCUAUGGAAAUAUGACUACCAUCUUUUCUUAAUGACGGCGUCUUCCGCCAUUACUCUUCUAUCCUCCCCCUUAAUCCACUUAUCUUAGUCCAAAUCCCAACCCUUCCACUUCUUAACCUUGGCAAGCCUAAACAAUCUCUUUUCUCCUCCUUUCUCCUUUAACUCUUUAUACAAACUCUUAAAAGUUGUAGUCUUAGCAGCCGUAACUACUAACUUAGCGUCCUUCUUAUCUAACUUGUACUUCUUCUUGCUCACUCGCUUUUCUUUUUCAUACUUACUCUCAAUCAACUUAGCAUAAUCUACCUUCUUUGUCUCCACCUUCUUCUUAGCAUCUUCAUUCCACCACCAAUCCCCCAACACAGGCCAGACCAGCCCCACGAGAUACCCAACACCUCUCUAUACAAAUCAUGCCGCCUUGAGAUAUUUGAUAAAAAAGAAGGAUGCUAAGCCAAGGCUAAUUAGAUGGGUGCUGCUUCUUCAAGAGUUUGACUUUGAAGUCAAAGAUCGGAAAGGAUGCGAGAAUCAAGUUGCAGAUCAUCUGUCCAGAUUUGAGGGAGAUCAAACAGUCAAGGAUGAGGUCAAAAUUGAUUAUAUAUUCCUAGAUGAGAAAAUUUUGGUUGCUGCUCUUGAAAGAGUACCUUGCUAUGCAGACUUUACAAAUUAUAUGGUAAGUGAAAUUAUCCCAUAGAAUCUUUCUUUUCACCAAAGAAAGAAGUUUCUCCAUGAUAUUACACAAUACUUCUGGGAUAAGCCGUAUUUAUUUUGGCAUUAUGUGGAUAACAUUAUAAGUAGGUGUAUCCCUGAGGUAGACAUACUGAGUAUCCUGGAAGCUUGUCAUGCAUCCCCAAUUGGAGGUCACCAUGCAGGUGAUCGUACUGUAAGAACAGUGCCAUAGAGUGGAUAUUAUUGGUUGACCUUAUUCAAAGAUGCAUAUGAGUUUGUGCAGAGAUGUGACCAAUGCCGGAGACAUGGGUCAAUCUCAAAGCACCAUGAGAUGCCCAUGACAAAAAUAAAGGAAGUGGAGUUGUUCGACGUCUGCGGCAUUGACUUCAUGAGGCCUUUUGUGAGCUCGUGCAGGUUGAAAUACAUCUUAGUUGCCAUCGAUUAUGUGUCUAAAUAGGUUGAGGUUGUUGCCUUGGCCCAUAAUGAAGGCAAAAUAGUGGUUGCAUUCCUUAAAAAGAACAUCUUCUCUUUCUUUGGGGUACCAUGUACCAUCAUAAGCUAUGGUGGAUCAUAUUCUUACAACCAAAUAUUCCGAGCAGCCUUGCUAAAAUACGGUGUUAAGCAACACAAGGUAGAAACUCCAUAUUACCCAUAAACGAGUGAGCAAGUGGAGAUUGCCAAUCGGGAGAUAAAAGAUAUUCUUGGGAAGACGGUGAAUGGGAGUAGAAAAAAUUGGUCUAGGAAGCUAGAUGAUGCCUUGGGGGCAUACAAAACAACUUUUAAGACACCCAUUGGUAUGUCACUAUACCAAUUGGUCUAUGGUAAGGCAUGUUGCUUGCCGAUUGAAUUAAAACACAAGGCAUUGUGGGCACUCAAGAGGCUAAAUUUGAAUUGGAAUGAGGUAGCAGAGUUGCGACUGGAAAGCUGAAUGAGAUGGAUGAGUUCUAUCUCGAGGCUUAUGAAAGAACAGACUUGUACAAAUAAAGGAUGAAGAAGUGCCAUCACCAAAGGAUUAAAAAGCGAGACUUUCAGAAAGGUGAUUGGGUACUCCUCUUCAAUUCCAGACUGAAGCUCUUUCCAGGUAAACUUAAGUCAAAGUGGUAUGCCCAUUCAAAGUUAACCAAGUCUACUCAUCGGGAGUAGUUGAACUUAAAAAUAAGGAUAGAAAUGUCUUCAAGGUUAAUGGGAAACGAGUGAAGCUAUAUAUCAGUCCAAUGGAAUCAAUAAAGUACUUAGCUACCAUCUAUCUAGAUGAAGUCUGAGUAAUCGAGAUAACUGAGUCGUGCCGCGAUAAUAAAUCAGGCCCUAGUCAGAGGCAACCAGAAAGUGUUAUUGUAAGCAUAGUUAGAGUUUAUUUGUAGUUUUUGUUCAAUUUGAUGCAUUGUGUAAGUGUGCAGAAGAGAAAUGCAGGAAAACAGAAGUUGAACAAGUUGGAGAAUGUCCUACGGGAGGCUUGACGGACCGUCAAGGUCAUGAUAGACUGCCACCAAAACUGUCAGACCCAUGGCCAAAUAAUAGACAUUCUGGAUAAGGCUUGAUGGUUAAGUUGAUGGACCAUCACAUGUACGAUGGACCGUCAACACCACCUUCAAAAUAAAGUUGAAAAAUGAAGUUUUUGGAUAGGACUGACAGAAAUUUUGACAGACCGUCACCUCUAUGAUGGAUCUUUGUCUUAACCAUCGCAACAUGGAAGGGUGUUCAUGUUUCUAGAAAGUCCUAAUGAGGGAGUCGACGGACCAUGGAAGCAUUAACGGACCGUUGGGUCGACCGUCAACUUAACCCUAACUUUAAUGGGUCGGGUCGAUUCAAUUUAAUGCAGAGUAAGCCGUUAGCCGACCCAAAGUGGUUUCAAAUUAAUAAAAGAAAUGGUUGAGUACAUUACAAACUCUUCAAAUACUGAGCCAAUUUAAAUUCCCCUACAUUCAAAGUACCGGAGAGCAUUCUUAUCCUUUUAGGACUUUCUCUCUUCCCUUUUCUUUCCUAUUUAAAAAAUUCUUUCUUUCUUUUCUUCAUAUAAAAAUUCAAGUUAUCAAUCAUUGAUGAAAGCUUUAAGUCUUCUCUUAUUCUAAGUUUGCAAGGACAAGGUAGUGAAGUAUACUGCAGAAACAAGGUAUGAUCACAAAUUUACUCUUCUUUUCAAUAUGGUGAAGCAUGAGUCAUGCAAGAAUUUCAUUUUGUUUUUGCUUUGUUGUGAUUCUGAUUUUAAGCGGAACUCUGGUGUACACUACUUUGGGUGAAGUUUGAGCAACCCAUGGACCAAAAGUGGCAAGAUUUGUGCUUAAAUACUAAAUUAAUACCAUAAUUAUGUGUAUAAUAACUUAAGUACACCAGGUGUUCGACGAAAUGCCAAAGUGAAAUCUGAGGUUGAAAAGUGAGGCUAACGGCCAACUUGACGGACCAUCAGACCCCUGACGGACCAUCGGGUAGACCAUCACAAUGUUAUUGAGUCUGAUGCUCAUUGGUAAGCUACGACGGCUAACCUGACGGGCCGUCAGACUCCUGAUGGACCGUCGGGUCAACCAUCGCAAGGUUAAUUGAUAAAAAACUCACUGGUUGAGGCUUGACGGUGAGGGUGAUGGACCAUGGCAGUCUUGACAGACCAUCAGACGUUUCUCAAGCUAGAUUUUUAUUGUUUUGUCUGGUUCUAAAUUGAAAACUAAUUAUUUGUUUCCUUUUUAGGCAAUAUGGCACGAAAACUUCACCUAACCAGAGGCGGUGGAAGAACACAACGAGGAAGGGGUGAUCUAACAUUGAGUGAGAAGGCUCUGGAUUUCAACACUCGACAAAGGGACUGAAUAAAUCAGGCACUCUUCCGGUAUGAAGAGGAGAGUAAAGCCAAUACCAGUAGCAUAAGUUCGAGCCCCAAUGAGGAAAGGGUCAAUACAUCAAACGCCACCCAAGUUGAGGCAUCGAAAACUGAGGAUGCCAAUGUGGUUAAGAGAAAAGACCCUCAAACAAGGAAGGAAAUAAGGUGUCAAGUUGAAGUACCAAAGGAUAAGUACCUUGAUGGAUUGGAACCAACAAAGACUAGGACAAUCUCCGAAGAGCACCAAAUAGUGACGACCAAGUUGCAUGAGUAUCCAGAGCUUGGGCAGCAAUUCAAUAAAUAUGAGUUAUCCUAGAUGAGCAAACCUCUCGGGGCGUACCAACAGAAUCUUAUAUGAGACAUUUUAGCCAAUUAUUUAGCACUGGCAGAGAAGACUGUGCCAAGGGCUCAAAAAUCAGAUUUGCCUAACAGGGAAUCAGUUUCGCUCAAAGGGGUUACCAUUGAUAUAUUGGCCCGCAUGCUGAAUAGGAUAUUGUUUGGGACUAACUAUGAAGCACCAGUUGUGGUUCCAGAGCUUGAGCAUUGUAUGACCACAACAUCUACUCAAAGGCCUUGGUUGUCUAGGCUCCUUACUGAUGAUGGCAACCCAUCCUGGGUAUUCAAUCCAUCCGAGUGCAUUGCUAAAUCAUCUCUUAGUUUCUGAGUUAAGUUUUGGUAGGCCAUUGUACGAUUAAGGUUAAUGCCAACAGGGAGAGAUACUAAUUUGGAUAGUCAUAAGACUGUGUUGGUGGCUAGUUUGAUUGCCAGGAUGAAGAUUGAUUUUGGCCAAAUUAUUGCUGAUAAGAUAUUUUUUCAGGCACACAAAGUGGCAAGCGUGUUACCAUUUUCGUGUUUGAUAACGGAAUUAUGUAGUCAAGCCAAUGUACCUUUUAUUCGAGGAGUUUACAAUGAGGUGUGGGUAACUCACAGGUAAUAUAUUGAAAAAAAAGGAUGCCUCAAAAUAUAAAAUGCGAGUUAACAAACCUCCUGCAUAGCAGACGCAGUUAGCGCCAACCCUCUACACUUUUGAGAUACCCACAGGUAUGCCGUUGCCUAUCACUACUUAUGUGUCGCCCAAUUAUGUGCCACCUAGUACUAAUGUAGGAUCAAUAUCUAUGUCGCCAAUGGGUGGGACUUCAGUUAUUGUAUCUGUCCCACCUUAAUAUUUGGAGUACAGGUUAACACAGGAAAAUUUUACCAAGUCUGUUAAAUAACAGAAAAAGUUUCAGAAGUAGCUAGACACAUGUGCUAUGUAGUUUAAGCCUUUUGUUGACCAUAUUGUGGAUAAGAUAAUUUGUCCUUUUCAGAACAUUCAGGUCAGGAUGGAUCAUAUGGAGGAACGUGUAAACAAAAGGCUGGAUGCGAUGUCAAUUCUAGAUUUUGCUCAAUUUAUGGCAGAAUUUAAGAAAGCACAGACGGACAUAGAAGAGCUAAAAUGACAACCACAGCAGCAUAUUUUUGACCCUGCUCUAAUUAUAAGUGAUGAGUAUAAGGGCAUUAUAGACUUGAUGGGUAUACCGCUUAAGGACAAAGGCAAGCAGGUGGACGAAAGUGCUGACAACAAAACUGUCAAAAGAAGAAGGAGAGAAGUAAUGACACCAAAAGAAAGAGAAGCCAGAGAUAUAAGGAAAACUGCAAAGAGGUCAAAGAGAUAUGAGGAUAAGAGACAAAAGAAAGUUGUGGAUGAAGCCACUGGAGUGUUGACCAGUUUUAUCCCACCUAGGGGCCACUUUCAUACCUGGUUCGAGUUGAGAUACCUCCGAUUCAGGAGGAUGAUGUUGUGAGUACCCCUACCACCAUAGGGGUCAAUGUUGUUGCCCCCGAGGCCAAAGAAGCCUCACCCCAUUUGAAUGAUGCCUCAUCAGACUGAGAGGAUUUAUAAGUAUUCCUCUCCUUUGUACUUUAUUUUAAUGCAUUGAGGAUAAAACAUUCAUUUUUUGUGGGGGCGGGUAUACUUGUACCAUAGGGAUUUUUGUUGCUUGUGUUUUUUCCCUCCCGUAUGAUAUCUAGUAGAACCGACAUGUUUAGGUUGCAUAUUUAUUUUUCUUGUGAUGUACAUAUUGUGUCAUAAUUAUAAGUAUGUUAUUUAUGUUAUUUUCUUCCCUUUUAGCACCAUUUUGUAUGUAUGAAUGAAAAAAUAAUUGUGGCAAAGUACUUUAAACAUGAUUUUGUAUGACUAUUCUUUAUUAUCACUUGGUAAAUAUGUUGAACAACCAGCUGUGAUUCUGUAAUUGGCAUUAGGAUGUAAAGUGAGCAUGACCAUGUGAUGUAAAUCCCAAGAGUUGGCAGAAUAAGUGUUAACUCAUUGCCUGUGUAUGAGAGUGUUUGUUAUAUUUCUUGCAUAGUGUUAUACCUAUAACUUUCCCGGUUCAUUGAUGUUGUUUUGUGAUUGAUUAAAUUAGAUAGGAUAGCAGGCCUCCUUGUACGUUUAGUCCACUUAGCCUAAAAGAAUGACCCACCAAAAAGAUUUUUCCAUUGUUUGAACCCCUUUUGAGCUUAUGUUAGUUUUAUCCAUUCCCAAUAACUUUGAGUAACACUCUUUAGGAUGUUAGCACCUAGCUUUGGCCCUGGUCUAAUAUUGGACAUUGUUCACCUUAACUUAGGCAAAACGCCUAAGUUGAGGGUGGCUACUGUCAGGACAUUAGUAGUAUGUUGAGGGUGGUCUAGAGUUAAAAUGAAAUAUCGCAUCCGGCCCUGAUCUAGUUAGAUAUUAAGAACCUCAACUGACUGCAUCAGCAUAAGUUGAGGGUGGUUUAUGCUGACUAAAAAAAACUGGGUUUAUGUCAAAAGCGUGGAUGAAUAAUAGAGAUUAUAAGUGAGCUAGAAAAGCAGUAGUCUUGGUCAGUAGCAAUCAAGGGAAAAAAGAGUGAAGUCUAAACUUUAAAGUCACUUUUCCCAAAAUUUGUCCUUACCUAGGCCCGGAACCUCAUACAAGCCAGAGAAAGACCUGCUUGAUCUUUGUGAAUCAACCGUAAGGGAGCAUUAGAUGAUAAGGGCAAACCUAUGGGUAUGUAUACUAUGUUUACAACUUCUUUGAUGAGUGUGAGAGUUUUGAUUUUCGUCCACAAGUUAAAUGAAUAAUGAGUGGUGAACUUCAUUUACUGUGAGAGCAACUUGAGUUAUGCUUAGUUUUGCUGAUCUCUGUGGGAUAUUUUAUCCAUAUUUGUAUAUGAGCUGAAUUAUAAAUAAUGCCAGUUAUAGAUGCUGAUAUAUUGAGACUAUAUGAGUGAGAUAACAGUUGAGUAGUUGUGUGAAAUCUAGUUCAACAGUUGAAUGCCCAUCAUUGUAUUAUUUAUGUAUCCGAUUUGGUGCUGAGUUGCUUAAGGACAAAUAAUUUUCUUAAGUUGAGGGUGUUGAUGUUUCGUCUUUUGAUGAAAUAUUUUACAUCAUUUUCAAGAGAUAAUUGUAUAUUUUCAAGAAACUGUUGUUGUAUUUGAUACUGGGUUUUAGUAUUUUUAGUUCAAAAACUUAGCUGAAAAGGUAACUUGGAAAAUCAACAGAAUAAGGAUACUGACGGUCAAACUGGCGGACCGUCAACCUUGUGAUGAACCACCAGAGUGAUCAUCAGGGCUAAACAGAAUGGACUAAGUAAAUGACCACUGUGACGGUCCAAGUAAUGGAUCAUCGGACCUUUGACGACCUAUCAACUUUGCCGUCAGGCUAAAACAGUGAAUAGCAUCACAAGUGAUCAAGCGAUGGUCCAUGCAAUGUCCCGUUAGGCCAGUGACAGCCCGUCACACCUUAACCAGAAAGUAGUAGCUUGGGAUCAUCAGCGAUAGUUCAUGUGAUGGACCGUCAGUCUACCAACGGGCUGUCAACGUGACCGUUAAGUUCAACGCGGCAUUAAUGAGUUCAAAUUUCAAGCCCCCACUGUCUGGGAACACAUAAAUACCCAGUUUAAGUUUAAUUUAGGUAUCUUUUAUCAUAUUUCCAUCUUGAAAACUUAUUAUAGCGUAUUAUUCUCUGAGAUUCAACCUACUAUUGUGGAUCUAGCUAUUUUAUUCAUUUUUCACUGAAGAUUCAAGAACAAUUAUUGGAACUUUUGUAAGUAAUUCUCUGAAUUUAUUUAUGAAUAACACAAUGACUACUUCUUCUUCACUUGAGAUGUGUGGCUAAGCUACCAUAACUAGGGUUAUGGGAGUCUUAAUGUGAAUAGCUGAUUGGGGUUGUGAAGACACUUAAUUGAAAUCGUAUAAACCCUUCUUCAUAUUAACGACCUUUCUUGGUUGCAAACUUGAAGGGUGAGACCAAGAACAUCACUUGUUUGAGUAUAAAAGUGUAUAUUGAAAAAAAAAGAGGUUUACAUGAAAUCUAAAGGCUUUACCCUUUGGAUUAUGGGUUGAUUCCUUAAUGGGAUCAACCUACGUGAAAGACUUGUUGAAUAAACCAAUGUAUUCCUUAAGUUCAAAAGAAUUGAAGGGUAAACUAUCCAUUUAGGUUGAGAAACAAAUGAGUAAACUUUAGAAUUCAAAAACUUCUACAAUUGAAGUUAUAAAUUGGAAACCUACGAUAAUUCACAACCUCGACUGCUUGAACAUAUCCUGGUUUGUCUACUCUCAUUGAAUUAACACUUGCAAUAAGAUUCUCUGGUUGGAACACAUGUUGCUACAAACAUCUGGAUAUUGUUGAUAAGUCAAAACCCCCUUUACUCCAAAACCUUCGAUCAACAGUCAAUUAACAACCAUAGCACUUAGUUUGCACAGUAUUCCCUAUGAGAUUUGACCCCAACCUAGUUGGGUUCUAUAUUUGACAAUGACCGCCUACACUUUCUAAUGAGAGUUGUAAUUUGGGUGUAUCACACUAGUUGAAGACAGAGCUGGGGCAGAAGAUUUCUGACAGAAUUGAGGAUGGUUACCACCCUCUGUCUUGGCUGAGCAAAGUUGAAACUACCUGUCCCAGCCAUCUGAUUCUCUCUUUUUUUCUCCUUAACCUUUUCCUCUAAAAUCUUCUAAGAAUGGACCAUAAGCCUAUAUAAGUAUAUAUCUUUAAUCAACAUUGCGGUCUUACACUCCUUGACCACACUAUCAGAUACACCAGACACAAACUUACUCAUUCUAGACCUGUUAUCAGACACCACAUGAGGAGCAUACCUCGCCAACUGAGUAAAUUUAUGCGAAUACUCCUUUACACUCAUACUACCCUGCUUUAAAUUAAUAAACUCCAACACCUUAGCUUUCCUCAAUUUCAAAAGAAAGAAUCUGUCUAAAAAUGUUGUAGCAAACUCCUCCCACUUUACAGCCCCUACAUUUGUGCCUCUAUCCUCUUUCCACUGCUUAUGCCAGGUAUGAGCUACAUCCUACAAAUGGUAAGCGGCUAAAUCUACACUCUCCCCAGAUAUGACACCCAUAAUAUUUGUUACCUUCUGAACCAUGUCAAAGAACUCAUGCAAAUCCUCAUCAGACUUGGAUCCCAAGAACUAAGGAGGAUUCAUUUGGAUGAAGUCCCGAACCUGGCUACGGCAGGACUAGCCACUGGAUUAGUUGGGAUAGGAUCCUACUAAUUAUUCUAAGCUGCUACAGAGUGAUCCAGAGUAGUAAAUAUAGCUCUGAACUAGAAAUGAGAGACAUGCUCAUUCAGGGGAUCCUCCUGAACGGGCAGAGGUACAGGCUGAUUCCCGUUUCUUCUUCCAUUAGUCUUUCUGGGAGACAUGUUCUGUAAAUGAAAGGAAGAUUGAAUUACAAAGAGGGUUUAAAUAGAGCUCAUGCUCAUUCGCAUGACAUGAAUACUGAAAGAAGGGAAACUUUUCCUAAAACGACUUAUAGCCUCCUGUCUAUAAGUUUCACGUGUUUCACACCCAUUCACAGGACUCUACUCAACGCAAAUUUCAGACUCCGUAGGACACUUUAAGACCUUAGGAUCUGAUACACAAUUUGUAAUACCCCAAAAAUUCACCCUGGAUGCCACACAAUUCUUACGAUCUCGAAGGACCAUAAGCUAAUCCAUGAACUGGUACCUGCUAUGAGCACUGAAUAGUAUAGUAACAAAAUAUAUAUGUGAAGAAAUAAAUGAAUAAUGUCAAAGGUUUAAACACUAAGAUCAUUACUGAAUCCUAAGUCUGAACACAUACUGAAAGUCAAAUAACAACACUGAUAAACUGACUAACUGUCUGUUGUUUGAAAGCCUCUAACUGACUAAAAAGAGUUGAUGGGACAGACCCCAACUAACUUCAACUGUCUAACUGAAAUGAAAAGAUGAACUACUAAAAUAACUAAAAUAAAUAAUCAUGUCCUCGAUAGAUGAGGACUCACCACGACUAAUGCUUCUGAUAAGUGAUCUGUCUAAGCGCGAUUAGGAAACUGAGAGUCCAAACCUAUGAUAUAAGACAUCAUAGCGCAAAGAAAAUGUAUGUGAUAAAUACUUUGAAUGUACUGGUAUGUGAGAUAAGGUUGGGCUAAAAUGCAUAGGUUUAUGUGUAUGAGAUAAUGAUUGAAUGAAUAGUAUGAGAUGACUGAGUUUAAAUACAUAAAAGAUAUAAAAUCUGUGAAUGCAUGACCAAGCGUAUAACCUAAUUCUGAAUUAGUCUAUAAACUGAAAUACUAAAAUACUAAUAAUUGAAUAAUUGAUAAUUGUAUGCUAUGGUCAAAUAAACUUGAAACUAAAUUCUAUACUGAAUACUGGACUGAGACUGUGGGAGCAUCAUCUAACCGACAUGCCCCAAUAUGAGCUAAUUGGGGUCCAACUUGUGAUCCCAGUUGAAAGGGUAUUAGUACCGUGCUAUGGGUACUAACAUUGACUAUAUGGAUCCACUAAUCUGAUAUCCCGAAGGACUAACGAGUCACCCUCAACUGGCAGGUGCUCUAAUGAGAUAUGUCUCAGCACUCAACUGGCAAGUGGACAUCUCAACCUACGCUGGCUACGUAGUUUUGGAAUACAGGGAUUGCUACUAUGGAUCACACCCUCCACUGGCAGGUGAACCCCUAUCCCUGGAUUCACUCGGUGCUAAAUCCUACUCCUAACUGAACUAACUCGGAUUACUAAUUUGAUCUAAGUUUAACUGAUAUGAUAACUGACUAAACUGAUAAUGCUCAAAUGUAUCUAAAACUAUUCUAAAAAUAUUAAGACUAAGUAAUCAGCUAAGUUUUUGGGUAUUCAUAACCCCCAGGACUCGAUAGCAAUAAUAAUAGGAUCAUACUAAAGCUUCGGGAAACAUAAUAAGUAGUCGUUAUUCAAAACCCAACCUUAUAAGCAUUUUAGCAAACGCAUGUGGGUUGUGAGUUAAAGCAUGGGAACAGUUAAAUCAUGUGAUAAUAACAUAAUUAUAAUAUUAAGACAUGGAUUAAGGAUUUAACAUGUGAAUAUCACCAUUCAAACAUGUUAAGGGCAAUUUCCAACGAAAACACACCGUAAACAUAAUUUGUAAUCAAAGUUCAUAAUAGCUUAAUGCAGAUAACUUAUAAUAAUAUGUAAAAAUCAUAACUUUAAACUUGAAAAGGGUUCUUGGACUCCAUGGGUGAAGAGGUCCCAUGGAUUAACAUCUAACAUACCUUAAUUGAAGAAUUUGUUAAGAUUUGUGAUGGUUUUUUUGAAAAUUAAGCUUGAAUACCUUGUUUCUUUUGAAGAGGUUAGGGUUUGUUCUUGAGAGAGAGAGCUAUCUUUUGAGAGAAUUUUGUGUAAAAGAUGACAAAUAAUGUUUUUGGGACCCUAAAUCCCGUGUUAUGGCUGGAUUAGAGUGAGGAAAAUAACUCAAACACCCUCCUGGACCUGAAACUUAUUAAACUAAACCGGACUAGUUGACGAGAAGGGGGAAAUUUCUCUUCGAAAAUGCGAUGUGGUUAUUGCAAACGUGAAGGAAGGAAAAUCACUUCUUUGUGAACACGACAGAGGAUGUUGCGAAUGCAAAGGAGGAAGGGUCAUGCACCAACAACGAUGGAAACUAGCAAAGCUAACUCAAAACUCUUCGAACAAACUUUCAAAAUUUGUUUGAGACCUCACAAAAAUAAACCGAUAGUGAUACUAAGCUAAUUUUGACGUUUCAAACUCAAUGACGAUAUCAGAUUUAAAAAAAUAUAUUUUUAAUAAAUUAACCCCCGAGACCCAUUUAGGCUAAUUUAACUAGUUUUCAAAUGGAAGAUGGAAAUAAAAAAUAAAGGCUCGGGACCCGACUAACCACACUACUAACCCAAAAUUAAUAUUUCAGAUCUAAUAGAACUAUCCAAAUCAUUAUCCGUGGUUCGAAUCACAAAAUAUUGACCGAAGUCAAACUAACUUUUUUUAAGGAUGUUCAAAACCACAAAAUCAUUUAAAACACAUCUCUAACCAUGCCAAUCAUCCUCACAAACUCGUAACUAAGAUAAAACAAUUAUGGAGAAGGGUAAAAUGAUCAAAACUUAAAAGUUUUUAAAAGUCAGUACGAGGAUCAUUAUACAAGAAUGACACAUUUAUAUCUUUAGUAACAUUUUAACUUUAUAAUUUUUAUUUUACCUUUAAUUAAAUAAUUUAUAGCUAGACAAGUAUUUAUCAAAAAAAAAUUCACUUAUACUCUGUAAGUGGAUUAGCUCAGAUAUCCCCUUCUCUCUCUAUAUAUAUAUAGAGAGAGAGAGAGAGAAAGAGAGAGAGGGGGGGACUAACUACCCUGCUGAUGUGACAUGUCUAGAAUGUCAAGAAAGACAUUUAUCUUUUACCACACUUUUUUGACUUUUUUUUUCACAUUUUAUAUGUUAAAUAUCUUUUUUAUUCUUUUAAAAGGAAAAACGUAAUGGUCAUAUAAUAAGGAACGAUUACAUUUUCUCCACAUUCAUUAUGAAUUAUUGUAAUUGUUAACAUUAUAGAAUUUCAAAGAGCCACCUUUUAAAACCCUUAAUUACCCUAUCUUUGGCAUUGAUACAUAAUUUUUCUAGGCACUAUAUAAGUGUAUCCAUGGCAUUGUCUAAGCAAAUGGUUCCAAAUUGGGGACGCUACUCUUUUUAUGACUGCUCAUUGCAAGUCCUUCUUUGAAUAUGUUGAGAAGAAAUCAAACUUUAGCAGUUUAUUUAGUGAAGCCAUGGAGAAUGAUGCACUAUUGGUUGUAAGCUUAAUAAUUGAACAUUGUAAGGGAGUCUUUGAAGGAUUGAAAUCACUGGUGAACGUUGGUGCGACAAAGGUGUCGUCGCUAAAGUUAUUGCCAAUGUAUUUCCUCAAAUAAAUUGUACUGUUUUUGAGCUGCCACAUGUCAUUGAAGGACUUGAAGGAUACAAGAACCUGACCUAUGUGUGAGGAGACAUGUUUAAGUCUAUUCCUUACGCCAAUGCAAUUUUACUAAAGGUAACUUGUAAUUAGUACUUUUCACACUAUAACAAUAUUAUAUAUGAAUUUAUAUUUUAUGGUGUAUGUUUGAUGAAUGACAAAUAGUCGAUACUGCAUGAUUGAAAUGAUGGAGAGUGCAUAAAAAUAUUGAAAAAAAAAUAAAAUAAUUUCAAGUAAGGAUAACGGAGGAAGACUAAUUAUUAUUAACAUGGUGAUGGACCAUAACCUUGACCAUGAUUCAUAUGAAGCUCAACUUUUCUUUGGCUUGCUCAUGAUGGUUGUGACUUCCGGAAAGGAAAGAAGUGAACAAGAAUGGGCAAAACUCUUCUCUGAUUCUGGUUUUAGUGACUACAAGAUUUUUCCUAUACUAGGAUUGAAAUCUGUUAUUGAGGUUUAUCCUUAAAUCUUGUUGUGUCACUAGAAUUUCAAAUAAUAGAAGAUUUGGCCAAAGAAUCUUGCAAAUGUUUAUUGUUUUUUUUUGUUUUCAUGUAUUACAGGAAAUGUUAUUCUUCAUUUCCAUAUGUAUUGUUAACUAAGGAACACCUUGUGUUAUAUUCCCGCACUUCAUAUGUAAUGACUUCUUUAGGGCAUGUGAGUUAUCAUGAUCGCUAUCUUAAGAAGCCAAAUAAAAAGGAAAAAGAAUCCAUAACUACACUUUUUAUAUGCCAAAGAAGACUUUAUAUAAGAACUACAAUUAAUUUUGGUGCCUUAUUUUUUCCUUGAGAAAUUAAAAUUUUCGGCAGCUAAUUAAAGGAACUUAGUAGGCGUUUGACCGUAGAAAUAUUAAUAGAUGUAGUUGCAGAUCAAUUAGAGAUGGAACAAUUAAUCAAAUUGGGUCAAGGUGCUUUUUAUACUAGAGAUUUCUAUAUAAAUAUAUAUUUCAUGAAUUUCGACACACAAAUGCAGAGGCCUGUGAAUUAGAGACAGGCUAUGCAAAUUCAGUCAAAGUGCUUCUGUUUUUUGCCUUCUUCCUAAUAUUGUUAUCGUGUAUACAUUUCUACAUUUCUUAGUGUAAAUUGUAAAGCAAAGUUUCUUAUAUUUUGAUUUUAUUACUCGAAAGUUCGAUACAUACAAAGUUACUUCUACCACGCUAUUAUAAAGUACGAAGUUCAACUCCUUGCAAAACCAAAUUAAGGUGUGGCAAAAGUGAGCAAUGAAAGAGAUCAAGGAUGUCAUCUUAUAAGAAGAUUGUUAUUCUUUCAAUUAAUAAUCAACAAGUUUUCACACGUAGUUGAUUUCUUGCACUCUUUUCAUGAAGUUAUUUUUUCUAUAUAUUGUGUUGCAUUUUAAUACUUAUUAUGUAAGAAGGUUCAAAAUUACUAUGAAUCAUUUUUGAUAUUAUGAUGCAGAAAAUUCAAAUGUGUUGCAUGCUUGAGUUUUGGGCUUUUGGGAGAACAAUUAAAAUGAUUCAAGCAGAUGAAAAACUAAGUAGUCAUCUUUCAUGCCACUAAAUAAUUUUACGCAUAUUUAUUUAUUUAAUAAAUGAUAACUUGCUUUACAACGUUGAAAGCACCAAUAGUACAAGGUUUCCUUAUUUAUACUUUUUUUUAAAAUUUAUUUUUACUUGUCACAUUGUGUAUUAUGAAAAUUAAUUUGAUUAAAUUUCAAAACUAAAUUUAAGUAGAUUAAUUUACUAUUUUAAAUUUUAAAUUUAGUUGUUCGAAACUAUACGAAAAAAUGCUAUAAGUUGUAAUUUAUUUUAUGUUAAUAUCAUGAAAAAAUACAUCAUAAAAUGUUGAUCAAAAUUCAUGCCACUUGACUCUCAGAAAAAUGUAAUAUAAAAAUAAAAAUAAACGGAGGAAGUAAAUUAUAACGUUAAGUCUUCAAGCUCAAAAAACUGUAAUCUUUUCAAAAGGUAAAUUGCCAUAGAGAUAUGACUACCAUUAUAUAUUAUUUCAUAGGCGGUCCGCCACAAACUCAAGAGGAAUGCUAGACUCCCAUGUUGAUGUUUAGAAAAAAUAUAAAUCUGUAUAUUUUAUAUUAGACAUUUAUAGUUUGUUUAAGUUAUAAAUUGUGCUGAAACUGAUAUGUUAAUAUAUUUUCAAAAGUGAGGUAAUUGUGAUGACUCAAAUACAAAUUUAAAUUGUCAGUUUUAGUAUAAUCUCUAUUUUAGUCAAAUAUAUAUAUAUAUACACACUUAAAAAAAGAAUGAUAAACAAAAUAUGUAUAUCAUAAUUUGUUUUGUUUAUAUUCGCACAGAUUUAUUCACUAGUAAACUAGUAAGAAGAGAAUACUUGAGUUAGGGGUGUAUGGAAAAAGCCGUAAAGUCUGAAUACACUGUUACAAUAUUAAGACUCCAUUUGUGCGAUUAGAAUGAGUAUGUUGUUGGUUGUCCACUUGUCCUUCCUUAAAAGCUAGUAGUAGUUGGAUCAGGACUAAUGCAAAUUGUCUUUUCAUAGCACUUGAUGAACAACCUUUACUUGAUCUCUAUCAAUUUCCCAAAAAAAAAAAAUUUAAUAAAACAUAUACUCCAAUCACCACUAUGCUGCUAUAAGUAAAACCAAAGAAAAUCAUUGAAACCCAAAAAGUUAAAAUCACUCAUUUCAAGAUUUGUUGAUAGAUCUAUUGUAUUGGGUUUUUGGUUUAUCAAGUGUAUGAUCUUCAAUCUUAUGGGUAUAUCAAAAAAUGGGUUGUAGACAUUGAAGUACUUUGUGGGUAUGUUUGUUAUCCAAAUUUGGUGGAUAGAUAUUGUAGAAGUUUAGUUUGUUUUAUGGUUCUUGAGUUUAUUAGUGAUACAAUCUACACCAAAUUAGAAAGAGAAUUGAGCUUUUCCUAAAGGGCAAAAUGCAGAAUUGCCCUUGACAGUUAAGCCUGGAGAAUAACAAGUGAGAUUUUGAGAGAGAGAGAGAAGGAUUUCUAUUGAUUACAACUCCUUGUUUACAAUUGUUAAAUAUGAAUCCAUAUAAUGAAGCAGAGACGGAACCUUCUAGAAGUUAGUUAUUGAACGAACUCACCAACAACUCUAACUGAUAUUUGGAACGCGUGCAGGUCACGUGCCCUUAACUAACUACAGUACACCAUUUAUCUGCUAAUGAAAUGUUUAAAACUAAAAAUAAGAAAUCAUAGAAGAAUCAUUCUCAAAAAGCUUGUAACAAUGCCUCCCCCAUCAGAUAGCCCUUGUCCUCAAGGGUUGAAGCGUGGAAAUUGCUAAUAAAAAGAGAGGUAAUCCUCCCAAGUGCUAUCUUCCUCAACUUUAUUAAAUUAUUUGACAAGCAAUUGAGUGAUAGGUCGACCAUGUUCUUAACCAAAUGCCUGUUGAGGAUGGACUUGGGGGUCAGUACGACAUGACGAUAUUUGAAUGCACCACUAGCAGAGUAGGUGAAGCAGUAUGUGGUCCCAACUUCUAUUUCAGCUAUGAGACAUGAAAAAUUGGGUGAAUUUUGGAAUUAGAAGGCAAAGCUAAGGUGUAACUAACAACACCAACUCUGGAAAUGAUCUGAAAAGGUCCAAAAAACUUUGCAAAAAGCUUUUGGAAGGCAUACGAUUUGAAAGACAAUUGCUUGUAUGGUUGAAGUUUGAUGUAAACCCAAUUACUUACUGAAAAUGACCUGUCAGUCCUUCUCCUGUCUGCCUGAGACUUCAUUCUAUCUUUAGCUCUUUGCAAUUGAAAUUUCAAGCUCCUCAAGGUAGCUUCUCUAGCCUAAAGGCUUCUAUCCACCAAAUCCAACUGAGAGUCAAAUACCAUAUAAGGUAGAAGUGGGGAGGCUUCUUCCCAUACACAACUUCAUAAGGGGUUCUAUUAAUAGCAGAGUGAAAAGUGGUAUUGUACCACCACUCAGAUAAUGGUAACCACUGAGGCCAUUCCUUCGGUUUCUCAAAGGCCAUACACCUUAAGUAAUAUUCCAAUCAAUUGUUAACCACUUUAGUCUGACCAUCAGUUUGAGGAUGGUAGGCUGUGGAGGUUAAUAAAGACACCUUCUGCAGUUUGAAAAGUUCCUUCUAGAAAUUGCUAGUGAAAACUAUAUCCCUAUUAGAUACAAUUGUUUUAGGUAUCAUAUGCAACUUAAACACUUCAGACAUGAAUAAUUAAGAAACAUCAAAGGGUGCAUAUGGAUGUUUAAGGGCCAUGAAAUGAGCAGCCUUGCUCAAUCUGUCAACAACCACAAAAAUGACU
RNAcentral lists this long non-coding RNA (41479 nucleotides) under Capsicum annuum. RNAcentral's name for it is "long non-coding RNA (CANN_LNC019422)". The record is from RNAcentral. Lineage: Eukaryota; Viridiplantae; Streptophyta; Magnoliopsida; Solanales; Solanaceae.